RNAcentral lists this ribosomal RNA (449 nucleotides) under uncultured bacterium. RNAcentral describes it as "partial 16S ribosomal RNA". It matches the Rfam family "Bacterial small subunit ribosomal RNA", at positions 29 to 523 of the family's 1533-position model. The record is from RNAcentral.
AGCGAACGCUGGCGGCAGGCCUAACACAUGCAAGUCGAGCGCCGUAGCAAUACGGAGCGGCAGACGGGAGAGUAACACGUGGGAACGUACCCUUUGGUUCGGAACAACCCAGGGAAACUUGGGCUAAUACCGGAUAAGCCCUCACGGGGAAAGAUUCAUCGCCGAAGGAUCGGCCCGCGUCUGAUUAGCUAGUUGGUGGGGUAAUGGCCCACCAAGGCGACGAUCAGUAGCUGGUCUGAGAGGAUGAUCAGCCUCACUGGGACUGAGACACGGCCUAGACUCCUACGGGAGGCAGCAGUGGGGAAUAUUGGACAAUGGGAGCAAGCCUGAUCCAGCCAUGCCGCGUGGGUGAUGAAGGCCCUAGGGUUGUAAAGCCCUUUCGGCGGGGAAGAUAAUGACGGUACCCGCAGAAGAAGCCCCGGCUAACUUCGUGCCAGCAGCCGCCGCCG